UACGUAGGGGGCAAGCGUUGUCCGGAAUCAUUGGGCGUAAAGAGCGUGUAGGCGGCCCGGUAAGUCCGCUGUGAAAGUCCAGGGCUCAACCCUGGGAUGCCGGUGGAUACUGUCGGGCUCGAGUCCGGAAGAGGAGUGUGGAAUUCCUGGUGUAGCGGUGAAAUGCGCAGAUAUCAGGAGGAAUACCGAUGGCGAAGGCAGGUCUCUGGGCUGACACUGACGCUCAUGCACGAAAGCGUGGGGAGCAAACAGG
RNAcentral lists this ribosomal RNA (253 nucleotides) under uncultured bacterium. RNAcentral's name for it is "partial 16S ribosomal RNA". It matches the Rfam family "Bacterial small subunit ribosomal RNA", at positions 524 to 776 of the family's 1533-position model. The record is from RNAcentral.